RNAcentral lists this ribosomal RNA (482 nucleotides) under uncultured bacterium. RNAcentral's name for it is "partial 16S ribosomal RNA". It matches the Rfam family "Bacterial small subunit ribosomal RNA", at positions 28 to 507 of the family's 1533-position model. The record is from RNAcentral.
GACGAACGCUGGCGGCGUGCUUAACACAUGCAAGUCGAACGAUGAAGAAGAGACACGCGAACUUCGGUUCAACUUUCACUUCGGAUUAGUGGCAGACGGGUGAGUAACGCGUGAGCAACCUACCUCUUACAAAGGGAUAGCCUCGGGAAACCGUGAUUAAUACCAUAUGACACAUUCAUAAGGCAUCUUAAGAAUGUUAAAGCUACGGCGGUAAGAGAUGGGCUCGCGUCCCAUUAGCUAGUUGGUGAGGUAACGGCCCACCAAGGCGACGAUGGGUAACCGGCCUGAGAGGGUGAACGGUCACAUUGGAACUGAGACACGGUCCAAACUCCUACGGGAGGCAGCAGUGGGGAAUAUUGCACAAUGGAGGGAACUCUGAUGCAGCGACGCCGCGUGAGCGAUGAAGGAAUUCGUUUCGUAAAGCUCUGUUCUAUGGGAAGAAAAGGACUGUACCAUAGGAGAAAGCCCCGGCUAAAUACGUG